Molecule: ribosomal RNA, 234 nt
Filed under: uncultured bacterium
Lineage: Bacteria
Description: partial 16S ribosomal RNA
Rfam family: Bacterial small subunit ribosomal RNA
Source: RNAcentral
UGAGGAAUCUGUCCAUCGGCGGGGGAUAGCCGGCCCAACGGCCGGGUAAUACCGCGUACGACCACAUGGGGACAUCCCUGAGUGGUGAAAGCAGCAAUGCGCCGAUAGAGUGCCUCGCGGCCUAUCAGCUAGUUGGUGAGGUAACGGCUCACCAAGGCAACGGACGGGUAGCUGGUCUGAGAGGAUGGCCAGCCACAGUUGGGACUGAGACACGGCCCAGACUCCGUAACGGGG